Long non-coding RNA from Varanus komodoensis (Komodo dragon), 163 nucleotides. RefSeq lists it as uncharacterized. Lineage: Eukaryota; Metazoa; Chordata; Lepidosauria; Squamata; Varanidae. The transcript is spliced from 4 exons. The record is from RefSeq and is a predicted model, not a curated record.
UCAGUUCAAGUUGUGAUAACCCAGAUUCAGGCUAGUUAUCAGGAGAAGUUUCCCUGCUAUCAGAGUAAUACAACAGUGGAACCAGUUGUCUAGAACGGUGGUGGGCUCUCCCACACUAGAAACAUUUUCAAGAAGACACAGGGUCAGCCCUGUGAGGGGAUGG